AUUGAACGCUGGCGGCAGGCCUAACACAUGCAAGUCGAGCGGAAGAAGGGAGCUUGCUCCUGGAUUCAGCGGCGGACGGGGGAGUAAUGCCUAGGAAUCUGCCUGGCUGUGGGGGAUAACGUCCGGAGACGGGCGCUAAUACCGCAUGCGUCCUGAGGGAGAAAGUGGGGGAUCUUCGGACAUCACGCUAUCAGAUGAGCCUAGGGCGGAUUAGCUAGUUGGUUGGGUAAAGGCCUACCAAGGCGACGAUCCGUAACUGGUCUGAGAGGAUGAUCAGUCACACUGGAACUGAGACACGGUCCAGACUCCUACGGGAGGCAGCAGUGGGGAAUAUUGGACAAUGGGCGAAAGCCUGAUCCAGCCAUGCCGCGUGUGUGAAGAAGGUCUUCGGAUCGUAAAGCACUUUUAGUUGGGAGGAAGGGCAGUAAGUUAAUACCUUGCUGUUUUGACGGUACCAACAGAAUAAGCACCGGCUAACUACGUG
This 484-nucleotide ribosomal RNA is filed under the name uncultured bacterium. RNAcentral's name for it is "partial 16S ribosomal RNA". It matches the Rfam family "Bacterial small subunit ribosomal RNA", at positions 30 to 507 of the family's 1533-position model. The record is from RNAcentral.